This 28154-nucleotide long non-coding RNA is filed under the name Hordeum vulgare. Its description in RNAcentral is "long non-coding RNA (HVUL_LNC002896)". The record is from RNAcentral. Lineage: Eukaryota; Viridiplantae; Streptophyta; Magnoliopsida; Poales; Poaceae.
AGAAACCUCCUCUAGUCAGCUUUAAUCCUCGCAACGUUCGAUUGUUAAUUAUAUGAUGGCGGAGGCCAAGGCGGUGGCUCCUGCGGUGGGGGCGAGUCCGGCGGAGGAGGGGAGGAGCAUGACGGUGGAGGCGAGUCCGGUGGAGGAGGGGAGGAGCGAGACGGUGGAGGCGAGUCCGGUGGAGGAGGGGAGGAGCAUGACGGUGGAGGCGAGUCCGGUGGUGGAGGGGAGGAGCGAGACGGUGGCUGCUGCGGUGGAGGCGAGUCCGGUGGUGGAGGGGAGGAGCAAGACGGUGGUGCUGGUCGCCGUGGACGACAGCGAAGCAAGCUACCGCGCGCUCGAGUGGGCCGUGCGGCACGUGGCGGCGACGGCCGGCAUGGCCGGCGCCGGAGCGGUGGAGCUCGUUGUCAUCCACGCCAAGCCGCCCACUUCCACCGCCGUCAACAUGGGCGGCCCCGGUGCGUUAGCCUCCUCUUUACCGCUUCAUCGUNNNNNNNNNNNNNNNNNNNNNNNNNNNNNNNNNNNNNNNNNNNNNNNNNNNNNNNNNNNNNNNNNNNNNNNNNNNNNNNNNNNNNNNNNNNNNNNNNNNNCACACACACACACACAAACUUGCCAAAUCCAUUUUUCUGAGAGAGAUCCACCUACUCAUGUGUUGAGAUCAAGAGAUUCCAAUCCAACCAUUUGAAACUUAAUAUAUAGCCUUCCCAAGUUUCUUUCCACAAAAUCAAUCUCUCCUACCCAUGCCAAAUAUGUGAGAGAGUGAUUGGGUGUUGAGGAGACUGUCUUUUGAAGCACAAGAGCAAGGAGUUCAUCGUUCUGCCGUAUCUAUUACCUUUUGGACGGUGAUGCCUCCUAGAUUGGUUAGGUGUCGCUUGGGAGCCUCUUACUUCGUGUUGUAGAGUUGAACCAAGAAGUUUGUACGGGCAAGGAUAUCGCCUACUUCGUGAAGAUCUACCGUGAGUGAGGCUAGUCCUAUGUGGAAGUAAGCCAUGGUGGAAUAGACAAAGCCGCUUCUUCAUGGACCCCUUGUGGGUGGAGCCCUCCAUGGACUCUCGCAGUCGUUACCCUCCGUGGGUUGAAGUCUCCACUAACGUGGACGUACGAUAGCGCCACCUAUUGGAACCGCGCCAAAAAUCGCCGUGUCAAUCUUCGCGAUUGAUCUUCCCAAACUCUACUCCUUACUUACAUGUGCAAUGUCUUUACUUCUCGCUGCCAAAUUGGUUGACUAGCAUGUGUAGGGCGCACUAGACUUGUUAUAAUUGCUGAAAUCUGCCAACCAUUAAAAUUGGAAAAAGGCUAGGAUUUUAAUUUAUGCAAGUAGUCUAUUCACCCCCACCCCCCUCUAGACACCCCUUCUAUCGAUCCCACAAUUGGUAUCAGCGCUUUGGUCUCCAUAGCCUUGGUUUAAUCACCAUUGGAGGAAGAUGGAUGUGCCUGGUUUGGGGAAUCCUAGUUGUAGAGUGCUUAUUCUCAAUGGAGAGCAUUAUAUAUAAUGGAAAGAUGAAAUGCUUGAUAUAUUCCAUAAACUCCAUUGGGCCAAGUAUGUUGAAUACCCCUAUGUGCCUCCCAUUGAUCCCUUACAUCCUUCUCAUGAUGAUGAAGUUAAUAUGCUUGGCAAUGUUAAAACUGUUAACCUUAUCAUUAGAGGAUUGCCAAGAAAUGUGCUUAAUCAAAUGAAGAACUUUAAGUGUGCUUAUACUUUGUGGAAAGAUUUGGAGAAAAGAUACCUCUUACUUCUUGAGCUUGCGUUGGUUUUCCCUUGAAAAGUAAAGGGUGAUGCAGCAAAGUAGAUAAGUAUUUCCCUCGGUUUGAUGAGAAACAAGGUAUCAAUCCAGUAGGAGGAACAAGCAAGGCCCCAAUCUUAGCACCUACACAAACAAUCAAACAUUUGCACCCAAGCUAACAAGGGGUUGUCAAUCCCUUCACAGUUAUUUGCAAGGAUAAGAUCUGAUAGGGAUAGAUAAAAUAUUGUUAGAACUAAAAGUACAACAAAAGUAAAUAAAUUGCAGCAAGAUAUUUUUUGGUAUUUUUGGUUUAUUGUUUUGAAAGUAUAAUAUGGAAAAUAGAAUCGGGGGGCAUAGGUUUCACUAGAGGCUUCUCUCAUGAAGGAAAAUAAUACGGUGGGUGAACAAAUUACUGUCGAGCAAUUGAUAGAAAAGCGAAUAAUUAUGAAGAUAUCUAGGGCAAUGAUUAUGCAUAUAGGCAUCACGUCCGUGUCAAGUAGACUGAAAAGAUUCUACAUCUACUACUAUUACUCCACACAUCGACCGACUCAUGCCUGCAUCUAGAGUAUUAAGUUCAUGAAGAACAGAGUAACGCAUUAAGUAAGAUGACAUGAUGUAGAGGGAUAAACUCAAGCAAUAUGAUGAAAACCCCAUCUUUUAAUCCUCGAUGGAAACAAUGCAAUAUGUGCCUCGCUACCCCUACUUUGUCACUAGGUGAGGACACCGCGAGAUUGAACCCAAAACUAAGCACUUCUCCCAUUGCAAGAAUUACGAAUCUAGUUGGCCAAACAAAACCAAUAACUCGAAGAGACUUGCUAAGAUAUGAAAUCAUGCAUAUAAGAAUUCAGAGAAGAUUUAAAUAAUAUUCAUAGAUAAUCUGAACAUAAACCCACAAUUCAUCGGAUCUCGACAAACACACCGCAAAAGAGUAUUACAUUGGAUAGAUCUCCAUGAAGAUGAUGGAGAACAUUGUAUUGAAGAACGAAGAGAUAGAAGAAGCCAUCUAGCUACUAGCUAUGGACCCGUAGGUCUGUGGUGAACUACUCAUGCAUCAUCGGAGGGGCAAUGGAGUUGAUGUAGAUGCCCUCCGUGAUCGAUUCCCUCUCCGGCAGAUUACCCCAAAAGGCUCCCAGAUUGGAUCUCACAGGAACAGAGCCUCCUGGCGGCGGAAAGGUAUUUUGUGGUCUCCUUCUGGUAUUGGGGGGAUAUUUGGGAAUUUAUAGGCCAAGGAUUAGGGUUAGGAGGCCGGCAGGGGACCCACAAGCCAGGGGACGCCCCCCUAGGGCGCGCCCUGCAGGCUUGUCGCCUCUCGGCAGGUCUCCUGCCCCCUUCUCCAAGUCUGGCAGGUUUCUUCUGGUCCAAAAAAAUCAUCCCGGAGAUUUUAUUCCAUUUGGACUCUGUUUAAUAUUCCUUGUCUGCAAUACUAAAAAACAUGGAAAAACAGAAACUAGCACUAGGCUCUAGAUUAAUAGGUUAGUCCCAAAAAUAAUACAAAAGAGCAUAUUAAUGCAUAUAAAACAUCCAAAGCAGAUAAUAUAAUAGCAUGGAACAAUAAAAAAUUAUAGAUACAUUGGAGACGUAUCAAGCAUCCCCAAGCUUAAUUCCUGGUCGUCCUUGAGUAGGUAAAUGAUAAAAAUAGAAUUUUUGAUGUGGAAUGCUACCUACCAUAUUUAUCCAUGUAAUAUUCUUUAUUGUGGCAUGAAUAUUCAGAUCCAUAAGAUUCAAAACAAAAGUCUAAUAUUAACAUAAAAACAAUAAUACUUCAAGCAUAUUAACAAUACAAUUGCUUCCUUUCGAAAUAACAUGGUCUUAGAAAGUUAUCCCUACAAAAUCAUAUGGUCUCGCUAUGCUCCAUCUUCCCCCACACAAAGUAUCUAAAUCAUGCACAACCCUGAUGAAAGUCAAGCAAUUGUUUCACACUUUUUGUGUUCUCAAACCUUUUCAACUCUCACGCAAUACAUGAGUGCGAGCCAUGGAUAUAGCACUAUAGGUGAAAAUAGAAUAUGGUGGAGGUUGCAAAAAGAAAGAGGAGAAGAUAGUCUCACAUCAAAUAGGCGUAUCAACGGGCUAUGGAGAUGCCCAUCAAUAGAUAUCAAUGUGAGCGAGUAGGGAUUGCCAUGCAACAAAUGCACUAGAGCUAUAAGUGUAUGAAAGCUCAAAAAGAAAACUAAGUGGUCGUGCAAAAGAUAAAAUUCCACUAGUUAUAUGAAAGUGACAAAAUAGGAGACUCUUUAUGAAGAACAUGGUGCUAGUUUGAAGCACAAGUGUGGAAAAAGAUAGUAGCAUUGUCCCUUCUCUCUUUCUCUUUUUUUCAUUUGGACUGUUAGGCCUCUCUUUUUCUCUUUUUUGGGCUCUUUGGCCUCUUUUUUUAUUUCCUCACAUGGGACAAUGCUCUAAUAAUGAUGAUCAUCACACUUUUAUUUACUCACAGCUCAAAGAUCACAAUGAUGAUGACUCCAUAGGAAAUGCCUUCGGCAGUGUACCGGGAUGUGCAAUGAUCUAGCAUGGCGUAUGACGUUGAAACAUCUCGCUAGCUAUCUUACGAUCGUGCAAUGGCAAUAUGAGAGUGAUGACACAAGUCAUGAGACGGAACGGUGGGAGUUGCGUGGCAAUAUAUCUCGGAAUGGCUAUGAAAAUGCCAUAGUAGGUAGGUAUGGUGGCUGUUUUGAGGAAGGAAUUUGGUGGGUUUGUGCAUCGGCCAGAAUUGUGUGGCACUAAAGAGGAUAGCAAUGGUGGAAGGUGAAAGUGCAUCUAUACCAUGGGCUCACAUUAGUCAUGAAGAANNNNNNNNNNNNNNNNNNNNNNNNNNNNNNNNNNNNNNNNNNNNNNNNNNNNNNNNNNNNNNNNNNNNNNNNNNNNNNNNNNNNNNNNNNNNNNNNNNNNUUGAGUUUCUUCUGAUCUCUCUUAUGCAUGAUUUCAUAUCCUUGUAAUUCUCUUCGAGUUGUGGGUUUUGACUGGCCAACUAGAUCUAUGAUUCUUGUAAUGGGAGAAGUGCUUGGUUUUGGGUUCAUACCGUGCAGUGACUUCACCCAAUGACAAAAGGGGUAGCGAGGCACGCAUCGUGUUGUUGCCAUCAAGGGUAAAAAUAUGGGGUUUUCAUCAUUGGUUUGAGAUUAUCCCUCUACAUCAUGUCAUCUUGCUUAAAGCGUUACUCUGUUUGUCAUGAACUCAAUACACUAGAUGCAUGCUGGAUAGCGGUCGAUGUGUGGAGUAAUAGUAGUUGAUGCAGAAACUAUCGGUGUACUUGUCUCGGACGUGAUGCCUAUAUGUAUGAUCAUUGCCUUAGAUAUCGUCAUGACUUUGCACGGUUCUAUCAAUUGCUCGACAGUAAUUUGUUCACCCACCGUAGUACUUGCUAUUUUGAGAGAAGCCUCUAGUGAACACUAUGGCCCCCAGGGUCUACUCCACACCAUAUUUUCNNNNNNNNNNNNNNNNNNNNNNNNNNNNNNNNNNNNNNNNNNNNNNNNNNNNNNNNNNNNNNNNNNNNNNNNNNNNNNNNNNNNNNNNNNNNNNNNNNNNAUGGACAUCACCAUGAUAGGUCUUCGUGCGCGUAGGAAAAUUUUUGUUUCCCAUGCGACGUUCCCCAACAGUGGUAUCAGAGCUAGGUUCAUGCGUAGAUGUCUUCUCGAGUAGAACACAAAAGUUUUUGUGGGCGGUGAUGUGCGUUUUGCUGCCCUCCUUAGUCUUUUCUUGAUUCCGCGGUAUUGUUGGAUUGAAGCGGCUUGGACCGACAUUACUCGUACGCUUACGAGAGACUGGUUUCAUCGUUACGAGUAACCCCCUUUGCUCAAAGAUGACUGGCAAGUGACUGUUUCUCCAACUUUAGUUGAAUCGGAUUUGACCGAGGAGGUCCUUGGAUGAGGUUAAAUAGCAACUCAUAUAUCUCCGUUGUGGUGUUUGCGUAAGUAAGAUGCGAUCCUACUAGAUACCCUCGGUCACCACGUAAAACAUGCAACAACAAAAUUAGAGGACGUCUAACUUGUUUUUGCAGGGUAUGAUUGUGAUGUGAUAUGGCCAACGAUGUGAUGUGAUAUAUUGGAUGUAUGAGAUGAUCAUGUUGUAAUAGAAAUAUCGACUUGCACGUCGAUGGUACGGCAACCGGCAGGAGCCAUAGGGUUGUCUUUAUACUAACGUUUGUGCUUGCAGAUGCGUUUACUAUUUUGCUAGGAUGUAGCUUUAGUAGUAAUAGCAUAAGUAGCACGACAACCCCGAUGGCAACACGUUGAUGGAUGAUCAUGGUGUGGCGCCGGUGACAAGAAGAUCGUGCCGGUGCUUUGGUGAUGGAGAUCAAGAAGCACGUGAUGAUGGCCAUAUCAUGUCACUUAUGAAUUGCAUGUGAUGUUAAUCCUUUUAUGCACCUUAUUUUGCUUAGAACGACGGUAGCAUUAUGAGGUGAUCUCUCACUAAAAUUUCAAGACGAAAUUGUGUUCUCCCCGACUGUGCACCGUUGCGACAGUUCUUCGUUUCGAGACACCACGUGAUGAUCGGGUGUGAUAGACUCAACGUUCACAUACAACGGGUGCAAAACAGUUGCACACGCAGAACACUCGGGUUAAGCUUGACGAGCCUAGCAUGUGCAGACAUGGCCUCGGAACACAUGAGACCGAAAGGUCGAGCAUGAAUCGUANNNNNNNNNNNNNNNNNNNNNNNNNNNNNNNNNNNNNNNNNNNNNNNNNNNNNNNNNNNNNNNNNNNNNNNNNNNNNNNNNNNNNNNNNNNNNNNNNNNNCCUUCUGCUCCUCGUUGGGUUCGACACUCUUACUUAUCGAAAGGACUAUGAUUGAUCCCCUAUACUUGUGGGUCAUCAGUGCAUCAGUGCUAACUCCUUGAGAAUCUUGCUCAGAUCUCUUCGGAUGACCCUCAGGAUACAAGGGUUCCUGGGUCAUUCUACCGCCUCUAGUGACGACUUUGUCAGAAUUGUCAUUCAACUCAUUGAGAAAGUCAUUUUUAGCUUUAAGUACUUGUUCUACCUGAGUAGUAACCAUAGAGGCAUGUUUACUCAGAAGCUUAAGAUCGUUGACGUUUCUGUCCACACAAGCACUUAAAUGACUAAGCAUACGAGCAUUCUGUUCCAAUUGUCUACUAACAUAAUCAUUGAAACUCUGUUGUUUGGCAACAAAGUUAUAAAAUUCAUCCAGGCAUAAGCUAGCAGCUUUAUCAAAAGGAAUAUCACUCUCAUCAAACCUACGCAGAGAAUUUACUUCUACUACCUGUAUCGGGUUAUCAAGACCAUGGAUCUCUUCGAUAGGUGGUAGAUUUUUGGCAUCUUCAGAUUUAAUGCCUUUCUCUCGUAUAGAUUUCUUGGUUUCUUGCAUAUCUUCAGGACUGAGGAAUAGAAUACCUCUUUUCUUCGGAGUUGGCUUAGGAGGUGGUUCGUGAAUAGUCCAAGCAUUCUCGUUGCACAAGAUGCUAUUCAAUAGGAUCUCAGCUUGUUCUACGGUUCGUUCCCUAAAAACACAACCGGCACAACUAUCUAGGUCGUCUUUAGAAGCAUCGGUAAGUCCAUUAUAGAAGAUAUCAAGUAUUUCAUUCUUCUCAAGAGGGUGAUCAGGCAAAGCAUUCAGUUGCUGGAUGAGCCUCCCCCAAGCUUGUGGGAGACUCUCUUCUUCAGCUUGAGCAAAGCUGUAUAUUUCCUACAAGGCAACUUGCUUCUUAUGGGAGGGAAAUAUUUUUCAGAAAAGUAGUAGACCAUAUCCUGGGGGCUACGCACACAACCAGGAGCAAGAGAAGUGAACCAGGUCUUAGCAUCAUCCUUUAGCGAGAAAAGAAACAGCUUGAGGAUAUAGUAGUGGCGGAUCUUUUCCUCACUAGUGAAUAGGGUGGCUAUAUCGUGCAGUUUGGUAAGAUGGGCUACAACCGUUUCACACUCAUAACCGUGAAAAGGAUCAGAUUCGACUAGAGUGAUUAAUUCAGGGUCGACAGAGAAUUCAUAAUCCUUAUCGGUCACAAAGAUAGGCGAAGAAGCAAACUUCGGGUCGUAUUUCAUCCUAGCGUUCAGAGAUUUUUCUUUCCACUCGCGCAGUAAUUUCUCAACAUCAUAGCUAUCCUUACAUGCAAGAAAGUCCUCAGCUAUCUCUCCCUCCAUAACAUAACGCGUAUCAGGCAUAACAGGCAUAGGAGAGCUAGUUCUAGCAGGCAAAAUAGCAGGUUCUACUUCAAUAGUAUCAGCAGUUUCAGAAGUAUCAUCACGUCUAGCAGCAACUCUAGCAAUUUGUGCAUCAAGGAAUGCACCUAGUGGCAAAGCAGUAUCAACCAUAGAAUCAUCAGGCAUAGUAUCGAGCAUAGCAUCAUCAGGCAUAGUAUCAAGCAUAGCAUCAUCAGGCAUAGGCGACAUAUCAAGAUUUCUAGCAGGAGGUGAAGUCGCAAACUUACUCAUAACUGAAGGUGAAUCAAGUGCAGAGCUAGAUGGCAGUUCCUUACCUGUCCUCGUAGUUGAGGUCAAGAUUUUAGUUCUUGGAUCUUUCGGAUUCCUCAUAGUGACCAGCAGACGUCAAUCCCAAGUGACUCAGAGAAUAUAGUUGUCCCUCCCCGACAACGGUGCCAGAAAAUAGUCUUGAUAACCCACAAGUGUAGGGGAUCGCAACAGUUUUCGAGGGUAGAGUAUUCAACCCAAAUUUAUUGAUUCGACACAAAAGGAAGCGAAAGAAUAUUCUCAAGUAUUAGCAGCUGAGUUUGUCAGUUUAAACCACACCUGAAAGAUUAGUGUCUGCAAGCAAAGUAUCAGUAGCAAAGUGGUAUGAUCGCAACGGUGCCAGAAAAAGACCUGUUGACGGCAGACUAUUCCUAACUGUUGUAUCAAUGGCGCCAGUAAAUAGCACGUUGACGGGGGACUAUUCUUCCCUGGCAACGACUCCAGAAAAGUCUUGCAACAAGUAACAUCAAAGUAGCGACUAACAGCAGUAGUGACAGCAGUAGCAAGGAACAACAGUAGUGACAGCAGUAGUAACAGUAGCAGCAACAGUAGUAGCGACAAAGUAACAUAGCAAGGACCAGUAGUAAAAGAAUCGUAGGCAGUGGAUCGGUGAUGGAUGAGUAUGACGGAUGUGAUUCAUCAUGUAACAACUAUAACACAGAGAGAUAAGUAACUAGCUCCCGUUCGUCAAUCUAAUGUAGGCAUGUAUUCCAUAUGUAGUCAUACGUGCUUAGGGAAAAGAACUUGCAUGACAUCUAUUGUCCAUCCCUCCCGUGGCAGCGGGGUCCUAAUGGAANNNNNNNNNNNNNNNNNNNNNNNNNNNNNNNNNNNNNNNNNNNNNNNNNNNNNNNNNNNNNNNNNNNNNNNNNNNNNNNNNNNNNNNNNNNNNNNNNNNNGUCUAUGGUGAACUACUCACGCAUCAUCGGACAGGUCAUGGUGUUGAUGAAGAAGCCCUCCGUAUCCGAAUCUGCCCUCCGGCAGGGCACCAGAACGUGCCCUAGAUGGGAUCUUGCGGAGACAGAAGCUUGCGGCGGCGGAAAAGUACUUUCGAUGAUCUCCUAAUUUUUUUUGGAAUUUAUGGGAAUAUAUAGGCGAAAGACCUAGGGCAAAGGGCGUCCAGGGGGCUCACAAGCCUGGAUGGCGCGGCCUCCCCCCUGGCCGCGGGGUGGGGGCAUGUGGGGCCCCUGAGACUCCCCUGCCUUGGCUCCCAAGCUUCCCGAUCUUCUUCUGUUCCAAAAAAAAUCUUUUCGGGGAUUUUCUUUCGUUUGGACUCCGUUUCAAAAUCUCUUCUGAAAGGGGUCAAAAACAUGGAAAAACAGGAACUGCCACUUGGCACUGAGUUAAUAAGUUAGUCCCAAAAAAUAUAUAAAAGGCAUACAAAACAUCCAAAGUUUGACAAGAUAAUAGCAUGAAACCAUAAAAAGUUAUAUAUACGUUGGAGACGUAUCAAGCAUCCCCAAGCUUAACUCAUGCUCGUCCUCGAGUAGGAAAGUGAUAAAGAAUGAAUUUUUGAUGUGGAAUGCUACCUAGCAUAGUUGUCCUUUGCAACUUCUUUCACGUGGCAUGAAUGUUCAGAUCCGUAAGAUUUGAAACAAUAGUUUGCUAUUGACAUGAAAACAAUAAUACUUCAAGCAAACUAGCAAGGUAAUCAUGAACUUUCAAAAUAACAAGGCCAAAGAAAGUUAUCCCUACAAAAUCAUAUAGUCUGGCUAUGAUCCAUCAUCCUCACACAACUAAUGUAAAUCAUGCACAACCCUGGUAUUGGCCAAGUAAUUGUUUUCGCACUCUUACUUUCUCAAACUUUUUAUAACUAUCACGCAAUACAUGACAACGAGUCAUGGAUAUAGCACUAUAGGUGGAAUAGAGUGUGGUGGUGGUUGUGAGACAAAAAAGGAGGAGAUGGUCACAUUGACUAGGCCUAUCAAAAAGGCUAUGGAGAUGCCCAUUAAUAGAUAUCAAUGUGAAUGAGUAGGGAUUGCUAUACAAGAGACGCACUAGAGCUAUAAGUAUGUGAAAGCUCAAGAGUAGAACUAGUGGGUGUGCAUCCAACUUGCUUGCUCACGAAGACCUAGGGCAAUUUUGAGGAAGCCCAUCAUUGGAAUAUACAAGCCUAUUUAUAAAAUGAAGAUUCCCACUAGCAUAUGGUAGUGACAAAGCAAGAAGCUCUCAAUCAUGAAGGACAUGGUGCUAUCAUGAAGCACAAGUGUGGAAAAAGGUAGUAGCAUUGUCCCUUCUCUUUUUUUUAUUUGGGCUCUUAGGCCUCUCUUUUUUUCUUUUCUUUUCUCCCUUUUUUUUGUUUUUGGGCUCUUUGGCCUCUUUUUUUUCCUCACAUGGGACAAUGCUCUAAUAAUGAUGAUCAUCACACUUUUAUUUACUCACAGCUCAAAAUGAUGAUGACUCUAUAGGAAAUGCCUCCGGUAGUGUACCGGGAUGUGCAACGAUCUAGCAUGGCGUAUGACGUUGAAACAUCUCGCUGUUGGAAAUAUGCCCUAGAGGCAAUAAUAAAUUAGUUAUUAUUAUAUUUCUUUGUUCAUUAUAAUUGUUUAUUAUCCAUGCUAUAAUUGUAUUGAUUGGAAACACAGUGCAUGUGUCGAUACAUAGACAAAACACUGUCCCUAGUAAGCCUCUAGUUGACUAGCUCGUUGAUCAAAGAUGGUCAAGGUUUCCUGACCAUAGGCAAGUGUUUGUUGGAAAUAUGCCCUAGAGGCAAUAAUAAAAUGGUUAUUAUCAUAUNNNNNNNNNNCGUUCAUGCUAUAAUUGUAUUAACAGGAAACAGUAAUACAUGUGUGAAUGAAUAGAUCACAAUGUGUCCCUAGCAAGCCUCUAGUUAGCUAGCUCGUUAGUCAAUAGAUGAUCAUGGUUUCCUGAUCAUGGACAUUGGAUGUCAUUGAUAACGGGAUCACAUCAUUGGGAGAAUGAUGUGGUGGACAAGACCCAAUCCUAAGCCUAGCACUAGAUCGUAUUGUUCGUAUGCUAAUGCUUUUCUAAUGUCAAGUAUCUUUUCCUUCGACCGUGAGAUUGUGCAACUCCCGGAUACCGUAGGAGUGCUUUGGGUGUAUCAAACGUCACAACGUAACUGGGUGACUAUAAAGGUGCACUACGGGUACCUCCGAAAGUGUCUGUUGGGUUGGCACGAAUCGAGAUCGGGAUUUGUCACUCCGUGUGACGGAGAGGUAUCUCUGGGCCCACUCGGUAGAACAUCAUCAUGAGCUCAAUGUGACUAAGGAGUUAGUCACACGAUGACGUGCUACGGAACGAGUAAAGAGACUUACCGGUAACGAGAUUGAACAAGGUAUAGGUAUACCGACGAUCGAAUCUCGGGCAAGUUCUAUACCGAUAGACAAAGGGAAUCGUAUACGGGAUUGAUUGAAUCCUUGACAUCGUGGUUCAUCCGAUGAGAUCAUCGUGGAGCAAGUGGGAGCCACCGGAUUGGCCAGAGAGGUGUCUCGGUCAUGUCUACCUGUCUCCCGAACCCGNNNNNNNNNNCAACGAGAUUGAACAAGGUAUAGGUAUGCCGACGAUCGAAUCUCGGGCAAGUUCUAUACCGACAGACAAAGGGAAUCGUAUACGGGAUUGAUUGAAUCCUUGACAUCGUGGUUCAUCCGAUGAGAUCAUCAUGGAGCUAGUGGGAGCCACCAUGGGUAUCCAGACCCCGCUGAUGGUUAUUGGCCAGAGAGGUGUCUCGGUCAUGUCUACCUGUCUCCCGAACCCGUAGGGUCUACACACUUAAGGUUCGAUGACGCUAGGGUUAUAGGGAAUUGUUAUACGAGGUUACCGAAAGUUGUUCGGAGUCCCGGAUGAGAUCCCGGACGUCACGAGGAGCUUCGGAGUGGUCCGGAGGUAAAGAUUGAUAUAUAGGACGGAUGGUUUCGGACACCGGAAGUGUUUCGGGCGUCACCGGUAACGUACCGGGACCACCGGGACCACCGGAGGUGGCCCCGGGGUUCCAUCGAAGGGGGCAACGACCCCAAGAGGCUAGAUGGGCUAAGUGCGGGAGGGAACCAACCCCUAGGUGGGCUGGUGCGCCUCCCACACCCAGCCCAAUGCGCAAGUGGUGGGGAGAGGGGGCAACCCUAGGCGCAGGUGGGCCUUAGGCCCACCAGGUGGUGCGCCACACCCCCUCCCACCCUAGCCGCCGCCCCCCUCUCCCAUAUGGUGGCCGCCGUCCCCUAGGGAGGGAACCCUAGGGGUGGCACAGCCCUCCCCCCUCCUCCUAUAAAUAGAGAGGGGUUUUGGCCAUUGAGACACACGGUUUUCCCUCUCUCUCGGCGCAGCCCUGCUCUUCUUCCUCCUCCUCUCCGCCGGUGCUUCGCGAAGCCCUGCCGGGAGACCUCGUCUCUCCAUCGACACCACGCCGUUGUGUUGCUGGAAUUCUUCCCCAACCUCUCCCUCCUCCUUGCUGGAUCAAGGUGCGGGAGACGUCACCGGGCUGCACGUAUGUUGAACGCGGAGGUGCCGUUGUUCGGCACUAGAUCGGAAUCGCUGCGAGUACGACUCCAUCAACCGCAUUCGAGCAACGCUUCCGCUUAGCGAUCUUCAAAGGUACGAAGAUGCUCUUACCCCUCUCUCAUUGUUGGUCUCUCCAUAGGAAGAUCUGAAUAUGCGUAGGAAAAUUUUGAAUUUAUGCUACGUUACCCAACAUAUCCCUCUACAUCAUGUCAUCUUGCUUAAAGCGUUACUCUGUUCUUCAUGAACUCAAUACACUAGAUGCAUGCUGGAUAGCGGUCGAUGUGUGGAGUAACAGUACUAGAUGCAGAAAUUAUCGGUCUACUUGUUUUGGACGUGAUGCCUAUAUGUAGGAUCAUUGCCUUAGAUAUCGUCAUGACUUUGCGCGGUUCUAUCAAUUGNNNNNNNNNNNNNNNNNNNNNNNNNNNNNNNNNNNNNNNNNNNNNNNNNNNNNNNNNNNNNNNNNNNNNNNNNNNNNNNNNNNNNNNNNNNNNNNNNNNNCCUUCAAGAUUGUUUGCAAAGUGAGAUCUGAAGGCGGAAAGUGCAACGAAGUAAAAAGUGUAAGGCUGAAAAUAUGGUGCGGAGUAGACCCUGGGGGGAAUAGUGUUCACUAGAGGCUUCUCUCAAAAUAGCAAGUGUUACGGUGGGUGACCAAAUUACUGCCGAGCAAUUGAUAGAACCGCGCAAAGUCAUGACGAUAUCUAAGGCAAUGAUCAUACAUAUAGGCAUCACGUCCGAGACAAGUAGAUCGAUACUUUCUACAUCUACUACUAUUACUCCACACAUCGACCGCUAUCCAGCAUGCAUCUAGUGUAUUGAGUUCAUGAAGAACAGAUUAACGCUUUAAGCAAGAUGACAUGAUGUAGAGGGAUAAUCUCAAACCAAUGAUGAAAACCCCAUAUUUUUACCCUUGAUGGCAACAACACGAUGCGUGCCUUGCUACCCCUUCUGUCACUGGGUGAGGUCACCGCACGGUAUGAACCCAAAACCAAGCACUUCUCCCAUUGCAAGAAUCAUAGAUCUAGUUCGCCAGACAAAACCCACAAUUCAAAGAGAAUUACAAGGAUAUGAAAUCAUGCAUAAGAGAGAUCAGAAGAANNNNNNNNNNCGCUACCCCUUUUGUCAUUGGGUGAAGUCACUGCACGGUAUGAACCCAAAACCAAGCACUUCUCCCAUUACAAGAAUCAUAGAUCUAGUUGGCCAGUCAAAACCCACAACUCGAAGAGAAUUACAAGGAUAUGAAAUCAUGCAUAAGAGAGAUCAGAAGAAACUCAAAUAAGAUUCAUAGAUAAUCUGAUCAUAAAUCCACAAUUCAUCGGAUCUCGACAAACACACCGCAAGAGAAGAUUACAUCGGAUAGAUCUCCAUGAAGAUCAUGGAGAACUUUGUAUUGAAGAUCCAAGAGAGAGAAGAAGCCAUCUAGUUACUAGCUAUGGACCCGUAGAUCUAUGGUGAAGUACUCACGCAUCAUCGGAGAGGUCAUGGUGUUGAUGGAGAAGCCCUCCGUGUCCGAAUCCCCCCCUGGUAGGGCACCAGAACGUGCCCCAGAUGGGAUCUUGCGGAGACAGAAGCUUGCGGCGGCGGAAAAGUACUUUCGAUGAUCUCCUGAUUUUUUUGGGAUUUUUAGGGAAUAUAUAGGCGCAACCCCUAGGUCAGGGGACACUCAGGGGGCCCACAAGCCUGUAUGGCGCGGCCUCCCCCCUGCCGCGGGGUGGGUGCUUGUGGGUCCCUUGGGUCUCCCCUGCCUUGGCUCCCAAGCUCCCCAAUCUUCUUCCGUUCCAGAAAAAAUCUUUUUGGGGAUUUUCUUCCGUUUGGACUCUGUUUCAAAAUCUCCUCUAAAAGGGGUCAAAAACAUGGAAAAAACAGGAACUGGCACUUGGCACUGANNNNNNNNNNNNNNNNNNNNNNNNNNNNNNNNNNNNNNNNNNNNNNNNNNNNNNNNNNNNNNNNNNNNNNNNNNNNNNNNNNNNNNNNNNNNNNNNNNNNUACUCCCGUUUGGUCUCACCCCUGCAUCACGCAGAUUUCUUCUGUUUUUCGUUUCGAGCCUGUUUCUGUUGCAGAUCUAGAUCUCUAUGACUUCCCCAAAAGCUCUGAAGGACAAGAUCUUCGAGGAGGUCAUCAAUCCCUACCUCACGGGAGUGCUGCAACACCCUCAAUCUAUCGAGAUGCAUGAGGGGAUGUUGCACAUCCAUGAUGUUGAGGGGCCUAAGAAGACCGGAAGCGUGGAGACGAGGCUCGAAGCAAUGGAGCAACAAGUCUUCAAGUGCCAAGGGAUGGUGGAGCGUGGACUCAACGCCAACCAUAUGAUGAUCAUGGAGUUCACCAACAAUCACAUGAUUGAUGCCAAUGAUAUUGGGAAGCAUCUCUCCAGGCUCUAUGACAGGAUUGAUCAACUCCAGGCCGAGAUCUAUGACCUACAGAACCAAAAUUGUGAGUAUGAGUGUAGAUUUCAAUCAAUAUGGUUGGCUGCAGAUUUGAGGAUUCCGGAGACUCGUUCAUCUUUCCAUGAUGGAGCACCUAUGCCUUGGAAGACGGAGGAUCAAACUCAUGUUGCAAUAACUCCACGACCAUCACCACCAAAGGAAGACAACUAAACAUGGGUAUGGGCAAUCCCCUUGGCUUGUGCCAAGCUUGGGGGAGUUGCCCCGGUAUCGUAUCACCAUCACAUCUUUUGCCUUUACCUUUGUUUUAGUUUGUUCCUUUUUAGUUUUCUUUCUUUUUCUCUAGUAGUUUAAAAGUCUUAGUGUUUUAGUCUUGAGUUUUGCUUUGUGUCACCCCCUAUGUAUUCGAGCUCGUGAGCCAUAUAAUAAAGAGUGUCUUAGUUGAAGGGCUUUGCCUCUUGCCAUGAUCAAAAGAGUGAGAAUAGAACAAAAGCAUGAAAGAUCAUGUAAUGAUCUUAUGGGAAGUGAUGGCUUCACAUAUAAAAAGAACAGGGAUUGAAACUUGUUGAGGGUAGGCAAACGUAGACCUUGGUCAUGGUUGCAAUUAAUAGGAAGUGAUAAAGAAGGAGAGGUUCACAUAUAAAUAUAUCAUCUCUGACACCAUCUAUGAUUGUGAACACUCACCAAACUAUUACAUGCCUAGAAGUAGAUGUUGGAAAAGGAAGACAACAUAAUGAAUUGUGUUUGCUUGGCUCCAAACAAUGUUAUAUGAUUAGAGAUCCCUUAGCAUGUGACGAUUGCUUCCACCUCAUAUUAGCCAAAACUCCCGCACCAAGUAGAGAUACUACUUGUGCAUCCAUAAACAUUCAACCCAGUUUUGCCAUGAGUGUCCACCGUACCUACCUAUGGAUUGAAUAAGAUCCCUCAAGUAAGUUGUCAUUGGUGCAAGCAAUAAAAAUUUCUCUCUAAUAUGUAUGAUCUAUUAGUGUGUGGAAAAUAAGCUUUGUACGAACCUGUGAUGAGGAAGACAUAAAAGCGACAAACUGCAUAAUAAAGUCCUUUAUCGCAGGAGGCAAUAUAAAGUGACAUUCCUCUGCACUAAGAGGACACGCAUCCAAACCUCAAAAGCGCAUGACAACCUCUGCUUCCCUCUGCGAAGGGCCUAUCUUGUACCUUUACUUUUUGCCCUUGAAAGAGUCAUGGUGAUCUUCACCAAUUCCUUAUUUUGCCUUUAUAUUGGCUAACGUCGUAUGCUUGGGAAAGAUCUAUAUUGAUAUGUCAACUAGGAGGUAGGCAUUCAUGAAUUAUUAUUAUUGACAUUACCCUUGAGGUGAGCAGUUGGGAGGCAAAACUGUAAGCCCCUAUAUCUUUCUCUGUGUCCAACUGAAACUUUGAUCUCAUGAGUACCACGUGAGUUGUAGCAAUCGUAGAGAACGAAAGAAUGAUUGAGUAUGUGGAUUUGCUUUACAAUCUCUUAUUUGACUCUUUCUGAUGUUGUGAUAAAUUGCAAUUGCUUCAAUGACUAGAGGCUAUCGGUUGUUACUUCUCGGUAAGGUUCUUGAUCCAUGCUUUACUUUGUGAAGGAAUUAUCACUUUAGCAUGAGAGAUUAUAUGUUGGUAUUAUUGUUCUGAUCAUGAUCAUGAUGCAUGCAUGUUCGUAUCUUGUUUUGUCGAAACCUCUCUCCCUAAACAUGUGGACAUAUUUAUUGAGCUAGGCUUUCGCUUGAGGACAAGCGAGGUCUAAACUUGGGGGAGUUGAUACGUCCAUUUUGCAUCAUGUUUUCAUGUUGAUAUUUAUCGCUUCUUUGGUUGUUAUUUCACUUCACGGUACAAUUCUUAUGCCUUUUAUCUCUUAUUUGGCAAGGUUUACAUGAAGAGGGAGAAUGCCGACAACUGUAAUUCUGGCCUGAAAGUGGAGCAAAGUUGAGAUACCUAUUCUGCGCAACUCCAAAUGCCGUAAAAAUCAACGAGGAUUUUUUUUCCGGAUUUAUAAAAUAUACCGGGCCGAAGAAGUGCCAGAGGGGCGCGUGCAGGUGACCACAAGCGUGCACGGUGCGGCCACCCCCCAGGCCGCACCAUGAGGGCUUGUGGGCAGCCUGCUGGCCCACUUCCCCCCUCUUCUGCUAUACGAAGGGUUUCGUCUGGAAAAAAAAUCAAGGAGGAGCUUUUUUGUGGUUUCACCGCCGCCACGAGGCGGAACUUGAGCAGAACCAAUCUAGAGCUCCGGUAGGACGAUCCUGCCGGGGAAACUUCCCUCCCGGAGGGGGAAAUCGUCGCCAUCGUCAUCACCAACACUCCUCUCAUUGGAGGGGACUCGUCACCAUCAACAUCUUCAUCAGCACCAUCUCAUCUCCAAACCAUAGAUCAUCACUUGUGACCAAUCUCCGUCUUGCGACUCCGAUUGGUACUUGUAAGGUUGCUAGUAGUGUUGAUUACUCUUUGUAGUUGAUGCUAGUUGGAUUACUUGGUGGAAGAGUUUAUGUUCAGAUCCUUGAUGCUACUCAUUACCUCUCUGGUCAUGAAUAUGAUUAUGCUUUGUGAGUAGUUACUUUUGUUCCUGAGGACAUGGGAUAAGUCAUGCUAAUAGUAGUCAUGUGAAUUUGGUAUUCGUUCGGUAUUUUGAUGCGUUGUAUGUUGUUUUUCCUCUACUGGUGUUAUGUGAACGUCGACUACAUUACACUUCACCAUUAUUUGGGCCUAGAUGAAGGCAUUGGGAAGUAGUAAGUAGAUGAUGGGUUGCUAGAGUGACAGNNNNNNNNNNNNNNNNNNNNNNNNNNNNNNNNNNNNNNNNNNNNNNNNNNNNNNNNNNNNNNNNNNNNNNNNNNNNNNNNNNNNNNNNNNNNNNNNNNNNACGAGAUUGAAAUAGGUAUGCGGAUACUGACGAUCGAAUCUCGGGCAAGUAACAUACCGAAGGACAAAGGGAAUGACAUACGGGAUUAUAUGAAUCCUUGGCACUAAGGUUCAAACGAUAAGAUCUUCGUAGAAUAUGUAGGAUCCAAUAUGGGCAUCCAGGUCCCGCUAUUGGAUAUUGACCGAGGAGUCAAUCGGGUCAUGUCUACAUAGUUCUCGAACUCGCAGGGUCUGCAUACUUAAGGUUCGACGUUGUUUUAUGCGUAUUUAAGUUAUAUGGUUGGUUACCAAAUGUUGUUCGGAGUCCCAGAUGAGAUCACGGAUGUCACGAGGGUUUCUGGAAUGGUCCGGAAACGAAGAUUGAUAUAUAGGAUGACCUCAUUUGGUUGCCGGAAGGUUUUGGUGCAUUACCGGAAAAGUUUCGGGCUCAUCGGUAGUGUACUGGGAGUGUCGGGAGGGGUGCCGGGGACCAUCAGGAGGGGUGUCACGCCCCAAGGGGUCUCAUGGGCUAUGGGAAGAUAUAAACCAGACCCUAGUGGGCUGGAAUAAGUUCCCACUAAGGCCCAUAAGGUUUGAGAAGGAAAAAAACACAAGGUGGAAAGAGUUUCCAAGUGGGAAGGUGGAAUCCUACUCCAAGUAGGAUUGGAGUAGGACUCCUCCACCAAUUUCGGCCAAACCUUUAGGUUUUGAGGCUGCCUCCUCCCCUCCCUCCCACCUAUAUAUACGGAGGUUUUAGGGCUGAUUUGAGACGACUUUCUCACGGCUGCCCGACCACAUACCUCCAUAGUUUUUCCUCUAGAUCGUGUUUCUGCGGAGCUCGGGCGGAGCCCUGCUGAGACAAGAUCAUCACCAACCUCCGGAGCGCCGUCACGCUGCCGGAGAACUCUUCUACCUCUCCGUCUCUCUUGCUGGANNNNNNNNNNUCCAAUUUCGGCCAAACCUUUAGGUUUCGAGGCUGCCUCCUCCCCUCCCUCCCUCCUAUAUAUAGUGGGGUUUUAGGGCUGAUUUUAGACAACUUUUGCCACGGCAGCCCGACCACAUACCUCCACGGUUUUACCUCUAGAUCGCGUUUCUACGGAGCUCGGGCAGAGCCUUGCUGAGAUUAGAUCACCACCAACCUCCGGAGCGCCGUCGCGCUGUCGGAGAACUCAUCUACCUCUCCGUCUCUCUUGCUAGAUCAAGAAGGCCGAGAUCAUCGUCGAGCUGUACGUGUGCUGAACGCGGAGGUGCCGUCCGUUCGGCACUAGAUCGGAGCGGAUCGUGGGACGGAUUGCGGGACGGUUCGUGGGAUGGUUCGCGGGGCGGAUCGAGGGANNNNNNNNNNNNNNNNNNNNNNNNNNNNNNNNNNNNNNNNNNNNNNNNNNNNNNNNNNNNNNNNNNNNNNNNNNNNNNNNNNNNNNNNNNNNNNNNNNNNUUGAGCGAUUCGUGAUGUUUGACACUGCGAAAGUAGAAAUCAAGAAGGAGCGUCAAUAGUUGAUGGUUUGUAAAACCACUAAGUUUCAAGAAAGGCAAGGGCUAGAAGGGAUACUUUGUGAAACGGCAAAACAGUUGCUGCACUAAUGAAGAGACCCAAGAUUAAACCCAAACCCGAGACUAAGUGCUUCUGUAAUGAGGGGAACAGUCACUGAGGCGGAGCAACUCUAGAUACUUGGUAGAUAAGAAGGCUGGCAAAAGUCGAAAGAAGUGUAUUUGAUAUACAUGAUGUUGAUGUGUACUUUACUAGUACUCCUAGUAGCAUGAGGGUAUUGGAUACCGGUUCGGUUGCUAAGUGAUUAGUAACACGAAAUGAAAGCUACGGCAUAAACGGAGACUAGCUAAAGGCGAGGUGACGAUACGUGUUGGAAGUGUUUCCAAGGUUGAUAUGAUCAAACGUCGCACGCUCCCUCUACCAUCGGGAUUGGUGUUAAACCUAAAUAAUUGUUAUUUGGUGCUUGCGUUAAGCAUGAACAUGAUUGUAUCGUGUUUAUUGCAAUACGAUUAUUCAUUUAAGGAGAAUAAUGGUUACUCUAUUUUCUUGAAUAUUCACCUUCAAUGGUUUAUUGAAUCUCGAUCGUAGUGUUACACAUGUUCAUGAUAUUGGUGCCAAAAGAUACGAGUUAAUGAUGAUAGUACCACUUACUUGUGGCACUGCCGCUUGAGUCAUGUUAGUAUAAAUUGCAUGAAGAGGCUCCAUGCUGAUGGAUCUUUGUACUCACCUGAUUUCGAAUCACUAGUGACAUGCAAAUCAUACCACAUGAGCAAGGCCUUGUUUUCAUUGAGAUGAAAUAAGAUAGUAACUUGUUGGAAGUGAUACAUUUUGAUGUAUGCAGUCCAAUGGGUGCUGAGGCACGCAGUGGAUAUCAUUAUGUUCUUACUUCACUGACGAUUUGAGUAGAUACAGGAGUAUUUACUUAAUGAAUCACAAGUCUGAAAUGUUGAAAAGUUCAAUUCCGUUUCAGAGUGAAGUUCAUCGUAACAAGAGGAUAAACUGUCUACGAUAUGAUCAUGGAAAUGAAAAUCUGAGUUACGGGUUUUUGGUACGCAGUUAAGACAAUGUGGAAAUUGUUUCGCAGUUCAUGCCACCUGGAACAUCAUAGUGUGAUGAUGUGUCUGAACGUCAUAGCCACGCACUAUUUGGUAUGGUGCAUACUAUGAUGUCUCUUAUCGAAUUACCACUAUCGUUUAUGGGUUUUGCAUUAGAGACAACCGCACUCACUUUAAAUAGGGCACCGCGUAUUUCCGUUGAGAUGACACAGUAUAGACUGAGGUUUAGAGAAAUCUAAACUGUCGUUUCCUGAAAGUUUGGGGUUUCGACACUUAUGUGAAAAAGUUUCAGUCUGAUAAGCUCGAACCCAAAGCGGAUAAAUGCUUCUUCAUAGGGUAUCCAAAACAGUUGGGUACAUCUCCUAUCUCAGAUCCGAAAGCAAAGUGUUUGUUUCUGGAAACGGAUCCUUUCUCGAGGAAAGGUUUCUCUCGAAAGAAUUGAGUGGGAGGGUAGUAGAACUUGAUGAGGUUAUUGAACCAUCACUUCAACCAGUGUGUAGCAGGGCGCAGGAAGUUGUUCCUGUGGCGCCUACACCAAUUGAAGUGGAAGAUGAUGAUGGUGAUCAUUGAGCUUCGAAUCAAGUUACUACAAACCUCGUAGGUCGACAAGGUCGCGUACUGCUGGAGAGUAGUACGGUAACCCUGUCUUGGAGGUCAUGUUGUUGAGCAACAAUGAACCUACGAGUUAUGGAGAAAGCGAUGGUGGGCCCAGAUUCCGACAAAUGGCUGGAAGCCAUGAAAUCCGAGAGAGGAUCCAUGUAUGAAAACAAAGUGUAGACUUUGGAAGAAUUACUUGAUGGUCAUAGGACUAUUGAGUAAAGAUGGAUCUUUAAAGGAAAACAGACGAUGAUGGUGAUAAGUCACUAUUAAGAAAAGCUCGACUUGUCACAAAGAUGUUUUCGACAAGAUCAAACAGUUGACUAUGAUGAGACUUUCUCACUCGUAGCGAUGCUAAAGGUCUGUUAGAAUUAUGUUAGUUGUUGAUGCAUUAUUUAUGAAAUAUUGCACGUAGGAUGUCAAAACAUUGUUUCCUCGACGGUUUCCUUGAGCAAACAUUGUAUGUGAUACAACCAGAAGUUUUUGUCGAUCCUAAAGAUGCUAGCAAGUAUGCAAGCUCCAGUGAUCCUUCAAUGGACUGGUGCAAGCAUCUCGGAGUUGGAAUAAGCACUUUGAUGAGAUGAUCAAAGAUUUUGGGUGUGUACAAGGUUUAUGAGAAACUUGUAUUUCCAAAGAAGUGAGUGGGAGCACUGUAGAAUUUCUGAUAGGUAUAUGUGGUUGACAUAUUGUGGAUCAGAAGUAAUGUAGAAUUUCUGUAAAGCAUACAAGGUUGUUUGAAAGAAGUUUUCAAAGGAGUACCUCGAUUACGCUACUUGAACGUUGAGCAUCAAAGAUCUAUGGAGAUAGAUCGAAAGCGCUUAAUAGAAGUUUCAACAAGAUGCAUGCCUUGACAAGUUUUUGAAAGAAUUCAAAAUAGACCAGCAAAGAAGGAGUUCUUGGUUGCGUUGUGAGGUGUGAAUUUGAGUAAGACUCAAAAACCGACCACGGCAGAAUAAAGAGAAUAGACGAAGGUCGUCUUCUAUGCCUUAGCCGUAGAAUCUAAAGUAUGCCAUGCUGUGUACCGCACAUGAAGUGUGCCUUGACUCAAAGUAUGUUGAGAGGUACAGAGAGUGAUCCAUGAUUGAAUCACUAGCAGCGGUCAAAAUUUAUCCUUAGUAACUAAUGGACUAAGGAAUUUUUCUCGAUUAUGGAGGUGGUUAAAGAGUUCGUCGUAAAGGGUUACGUCGAUGCAAGCUUUGACACUAAUCCGAAUAACUAUGAGUAGUGAAACGGAUUCGUAUAGUAGAGUAGAUAUUUGGAGCAUUUCCGAAUAGCACGUAGUAGCAGCAUCUGUAAGAUGACAUAAAGAUUUGUAAAGAACGCACGGAUCUGAAAGUUUCAGAACCGUUGACUAAAACCUCUCUCACGAGCAAGACGUGAUCAGACCCCAUAACUAUAUGGGUGUUGGAUUCGUUGGAAUCACAUGGUGAUGUGAACUAGAUUAUUGACUCUAGUGCAAGUGGGAGACUGUUGGAAAUAUGCCCUAGAGGCAAUAAUAAAUUAGUUAUUAUUAUAUUUCUUAGUUCAUGACAAUCGUUUAUUAUCCAUGCUAUAAUUGUAUUGAUUGGAAACACAAUACUUGUGUGGAUACAUAGACAAAACACUGUCCCUAGUAAGCCUCUAGUUGACUAGCUCGUUGUUCAAAGAUGGUCAAGGUUUCCUGGCCAUAGGCAAGUGUUGUCACUUGAUAACGGGAUCACAUCAUUAGGAGAAUCAUGUGAUGGACUAGACCCAAACUAAUAGACGUAGCAUGUUGAUCGUGUCAUUUUGUUGCUACUGUUUUCUGCGUGUCAAGUAUUUAUUCCUAUGACCAUGAGAUCAUAUAACUCACUGACACCGGAGGAAUGCUUUGUGUGUAUCAAACGUCGCAACGUAACUGGGUGACUAUAAAGAUGCUCUACAGGUAUCUCCGAAGGUGUUAGUUGAGUUAGUAUGGAUCAAGACUGGGAUUUGUCACUCCGUGUGAACGGAGAGGUAUCUCGGGGCCCACUCGGUAAUACAACAUCACACACAAGCCUUGCAAGCAAUGUAACUUAGUGUAAGUUGCGGGAUCUUGUAUUACGGAACGAGUAAAGAGACUUGCCAGUAAACGAGAUUGAAAUAGGUAUACGGAUACUGACGAUCGAAUCUCGGGCAAGUAACAUACCGAAGGACAAAGGGAAUGACAUACGGGAUUAUAUGAAUCCUUGGCACUGAGGUUCAAACGAUAAGAUCUUCGUAGAAUAUGUAGGAUCCAAUAUGGGCAUCCAGGUCCCGCUAUUGGAUAUUGACCGAGGAGUCUCUCGGGUCAUGUCUACAUAGUUCUCGAACCCGCAGGGUCUGCACACUUAAGGUUCGACGUUGUUUUAUGCGUAUUUGAGUUAUAUGGUUGGUUACCGAAUGUUGUUCGGAGUCCCGGAUGAGAUCACGGACGUCACGAGGGUUUCCGGAAUGGUCCGGAAACGAAGAUUGAUAUAUAGGAUGACCUCAUUUGGUUACCGGAAGGUUUUCGUGCAUUACCGGAAAAGUUUCGGGCUCAUCGGUAGUGUACCGGGAGUGCCGGGAGGGGUGCCGGGGACCAUCGGGAGGGGUGUCACGCCCCAAGGGGUCUCAUGGGCUAUGGGAAGAGAUAAACCAGCCCCUAGUGGGCUGGAAUAAGUUCCCACUAAGGCCCAUAAGGUUUGAGAAGGAAAAAAACACAAGGUGGAAAGAGUUUCCAAGUGGGAAGGUGGAAUCCUACUCCAAGUAGGAUUGGAGUAGGACUCCUCCACCAAUUUCGGCCAAACCUUUAGGUUUUGAGGCUGCCUCCUCCCCUCCCUCCCACCUAUAUAUACGGAGGUUUUAGGGCUGAUUUGAGACGACUUUCUCACGGCUGCCCGACCACAUACCUCCAUAGUUUUUCCUCUAGAUCGUGUUUCUGCGGAGCUCGGGCGGAGCCCUGCUGAGACAAGAUCAUCACCAACCUCCGGAGCGCCGUCACGCUGCCGGAGAACUCUUCUACCUCUCCGUCUCUCUUGCUGGAUCAAGAAGGCCGAGAUCAUCGUCGAGCUGUACGUGUGCUGAACGCGGAGGUGCCGUCCGUUCGGUACUAGAUCGUGGGACUGAUCGCGGGAUUGUUCGCGGGGCGGAUCGAGGGACGUGAGGACGUUCCACUACAUCAACCGCGAUCUCUAAUCGCUUCUGCUGUACGAUCUACAAGGGUACGUAGAUCACUCAUCCCCUCUCGUAGAUGGACAUCACCAUGAUAGGUCUUCGUGCGCGUAGGAAAAUUUUUGUUUCCCAUGCGACGUUCCCCAACACUCGCUAGAUAUCUUACGAUCAUGCAAUGGCAAUAUGAGAGUGACGGCACAAGUCAUGAGACAGAACGGUGGGAGUUGAAUGGCAAUAUAUCUCGGAAUGGUUAUGAAAAUGCCAUAGUAGGUAGGUAUGGUGGCUGUUUUGAGGAAGGAAUUUGGUGGGUUUGUGCACCGGCAAGAAUUGCGCGGCACUAGAGAGGCUAGCAAUGGUGGAAGGUGAAGGUGCAUCUAUACCAUGGACUCACAUUAGUCAUGAAGAACUCACAUACUUGUUGCGAAAGUUUUUAUUAGUAAUUGAAACAAAGUGCUAAACGCAUACUCCGAGGGGAAGGGUUGGUAGGUGUUAACCAUCGCACGAUCCCGACCUCAACACAAAGGAUGACAAUCAAUAGAUCAAUUUUGCUCUGACUUCCUAACAUAGCGGUUCACCAUACGUGCAUGCUACGGGAAUCACUAACUUCAACACAAGUAUUUCUAGAUUCACAACACCCUACUAACAUAACUCUUAAUAUUACCGAAUCCACGUCUCAAAACUAAUUGAGAAGAAUCAAAACUUCUCUUUCUAUUGAAUGCACAUGAAGAUGGAGGUUUUUGUAUCCUCUUUGGGUACCUAUCACAUUUGGGACUACUUUCAUAGCAUAAGCCAACUACCAAAUCACGCACCGCCGUGCUCUAAAGAUAUAAGUGAAGCACAAGAGCAAAAGUGUCUAGCUCAAAAGAUAUAAGUGAAGCACAAGAGCAAAAGUGUCUAGCUCAAAAGAUAUAAGUGAAGCACGAGAGCAAAAGUAUCUAGCUCAAAAGAUAUAAGUCAAGCACUAUGAGCAUUCUAGCAAAAUCACGACGAGUGCAUGUCUCUCUCUCUCAAAAAGGUGUGCAGCAAGGAUGAUUGUGACACAACAAAAAGAAAAGACUCCUAUGAUACAAGACGCUCCAAGCAAAACACAUAUCAUGUGGUGAAUAAAAAUAUAGCUCCAAGUAAUGUUACCGAUGGAUUGAAGACGAAAGAGGGGAUGCCUUCCCGGGGCAUCCCCAAGCUUAGGCUUUUUGGUGUCCUUGAAUUUGUCUUGGGAUGCAUUGGGCAUCCCCAAGCUUGAGCUCUUUCCACUCCUUAUAUCAUCGUCCAUGAGAACAUCACCCAAAACUUGAAAACUUCACAACACGAAACUUAAACAGAAACUCGUGAUAACAUUAGCACAAGAAAACAAACUACCACUUCUUUUGGUACUGUAGCAAACUUGAAUUCUACCUACAUUGAUGUUGGGCUACUGUAUUCUCACUUUUCCAUGGCUAGUACCCCCCCCCCCCGAUACUAACCAUAGUUUCAUCAAAACAACCAACCAACUCAACAAAAACAGAAUCUGUCAAAAAUAGACCAGUCUGUAGCAAUCUGUAUACUUCGUAUACUUCUGUUACCUCAAAAAAUCUGAAAAAUUACGAAGGCCUGGGAAAAAACUAUAUCAAUCAGCAGCAAAAAUAAUCAACUCAAAAUCUCUUUCUGAAUAAAAAUGCAAAAUGAUCUCGUGAGCGAAAAGUUUAUGUCUUUUUCCAGCAGGAUCAAACAACCAUUACCAAGACUAGUCAUAAAGGCUUUGCUUGGCUCCAACACAAAAAGAAACACAAAAAACACAAUCACAAGAGAAUUAUGAAAGUGUGGACGCAACAAAACAGAAAGAAAAAUAUAAAUUCAUUGGGUUGCCUCCCAACAAGCGCUAUUGUUUAACGCCCUUAGCUAGGCAUUGAUAAUUCAAUGAUGCUCACACAAAAGACAAGAAUUAAGCACAACGAGAGCAUCAUAAAGCAUGUGAAAAUCACAUCUAAGUCUAACAUACUUCCUAUGCAUAUGCAUUUUAUAGGAAAACAGAUUGUCAAGACAACCAAUAGUUACCAUAUGCAAGGAAGAACAAAGAGACAAUAGUAGUCUCCACAUAACGAGAGGUAAAUUAGUAACAUGAAAGUUUGUACCAUAAUAUUUACCUCUCUCAUAGCAAUUACAUGUGGGAUCAUAUUCGAAUUCAACAAUGUAACUAUCACAUAGGAUAUUCUUUUCAUGAUCCACAUGCAUGCAAAGUUGACGCUCUUCAAAAAUAGUGGGAUUAUCAUCAACUAAAGUCGUGACUUCUCCAAACCCACUUUCAAUAAUAUUGCAAAUAUCAUAUUCAUCAUGAGGCUUAAACAAAUUUUUAAGAUCAAAAGAAAAAUCAUCGCCCCACUCAUUAUCAUUGCAACAAGUAGUGGACAUAGCAAAACUAGCAUCCCCAAGCUUAGGAUUUUGCAUAUUUUUAGCAUGAUUGUCACUAAUAGAAUUUAUAGUGAAACCAUUGCAAUCAUGCUUUUCAUGCAAGGAGCCCUCGUGAAUCACUUCAUAAAUUUCUUCCUCACAAUUUUCAGAUUCACGCAUCUCAAGCAAAACUCCAUAAAGAUAGUCAAGUGCACUCAACUCACUAGCAAUUGGAUCAACAUAAUUGGAUCUUUUAAAGAGAUUAGCAAGUGGAUGAGGAUCCAUAUCACUAGAUUUUCAGCAAGCGAAGAUGCAAGCAUAUUGAAGGCACAUGGCACACAAGCGAACAGAAAGCAAGCGAGAGAAAAGGGCGAACGAAAAAGGCAAACGAAAAAAGGCAAAUAGGUGAAGUGGGGAGAGGAAAACGAGAGGCAUCUGGCAAACAAAGUAAAUGCAAGAGAUGAGUUUGCGACACUUACUUGGAUGAGUUCUUGACUUGAUCCUCCCCGGCAACGGCGCCAGAAAUUCUUCUGCUAUCCCACAGACAAUAGCGCCAGAAAUUGACACGUUGACGGAGGUUGGGCUUGCGUUGGUUUUUCCCUUGAAGAGGAAAGGGUGAUGUAGCACAGGAGCGGUAAGUAUUUCCCUCAGUUUGAGAACCGAGGUAUCGAUCCAGAAGUAGGGUCUCGUCAAGUCCAGAGUACCUGUGCAAACACAAACAAGCUUGCACCCAACGCUUCAAAGGGGUUGUCAUUCCUUCAAGAUUGUUUGCAAAGUGAGAUCUGAAGGCGGAAAGUGCAACGAAGUAAAAAGUGUAAGGCUGAAAAUAUGGUGUGGAGUAGACCCUGGGGGCCAUAGUGUUCACUAGAGGCUUCUCUCAAAAUAGCAAGUAUUACGGUGGGUGAACAAAUUACUGUCGAGCAAUUGAUAGAACUUAUUAGCUCAGCGGUAGUACUGCUCUGGCCCCAGCGGUAGUACCGUUGAGCCAGCGGUAGUACCGCUGGAGGGUCAGCGGUAGUACCGCUGCUGCCAGUGGUAGUACCGCUGGGCUCGUGCUGUGAGUGAGGAUAACGGUUGGAUUCUUUCCCUCAUUGUAUAAAGGGUUCUUCUUUCUCAAGAACCCUACCUCUCACCCUCCCAAGCUCCAUUGUUGCUCCCUAAGCUCAUAAGUGCCCGAUCUCUCUCCCUAUCCAAUCAAACUUGUUGAUUUCCUAGGGAUUGGUUGAGAUGGCCAAGAUCUACACUUCCACCAAAAGAAAAUUGAUUCCCCCCACUAAUCCCUUGCGGAUCUUGUUACUCUUGGGUGUUUGAGCACCCUAGACGGUUGAGGUCACCUCGGAGCCACAUGCCAUUGUGGUGAAGCUCCGUGGUCUUGUUGGGAGCCUCCAAGCUUUGUGUGGAGUUAGCCCCAACCUUGUUUGUAAAGGUUCGGUCGCCGCCUUCUAGAGCACCCAUAGUGGAAUCAUGGCACCUUGCAUUGUGUGAGGGUGUGAGGAGAAUACGGUGGCCCGAGUGGCUUAUUGUGGAGCAUUGUGCCUCCACACCGCUCCAACGGAGACGUACUUCCUGUCAAAGGGAAGGAACUUCGGUAACACAUCCUUGUCUUCAUUGGUUCCACUUGUGGUUAUCUCUAAUCUUUACAUUGUGUAUGUUAUUGUUGUAGACUAUUUCUUACUUGCCUUAGCGAUUAUAGUUGGUACCAUCAUAUAGGUUGAUCACCUAGUUGUCAU